AUGAAAAUAGCAGUGGAAGUUGUGAUUAUGGCCAACAGAAAUCGGAAACUGCUGCGAGGUCAUUGGCCUGGUACCCAGCACUGGCCUAUUAGCUGUCAUUAGCCCUUAUCCAGGAAACAAUUCACAUUCUUGAAAUCCUUAGGAAAUUGGAUUUCUGCCCACAGAUUCAUCACCCUGCUGUUUCUCGUGGAUUAAAGUGCCAGGGGCCUAUGAGUGACUGCUCUGUGUGAGCAGAAAGUGCGAUCCUCUGGCCUAGAAGUGGGCUGGGUUGCUCUCCUAGAAACUGUGUGGCCCGGGCUCAUCUUAUGACCGGAUGGAAGAGACUUUAUGAGGGUAUCUUGUCUCAUCUCCUGCCCAGCAGAUUUCAUUCUCCCUCAAAGCUGGGAGAUUGUAAAGUUUCCACUGGAAUUUGACAACGUCCCAGAGAAGCCCAAAGACCCAGCUCACUGAGGACAGGUGUCCUCAGAGGGACUGCAGCCUCCACUCAGGGAAGUGUUUGGUGCCUGGAUCCGAGUUCAACAGCUAUAAAGAGACACUAGCCGGCCACCCGUGCAGCGUUCCUUUGUGGCAGACAAUGGCACUUGGGAAAUGCCACACGCAUUAGAAGCAGACGUGGAUUGUCUGAGGAGCCUGUGCAAUGGAAACUCCAACUGAAAUCGCACAGGAUCACGAACAUUCUACUUACUUCAAGGGGCUGGAAGAGAGAGGAGGAAGAAAAAGCCUGAGCGUCAUUUUCCGACAGGCCUGGGCUGCUAUAAAUACGCGCAAGGCCGCAGCGACAGCACGGGUGGGUGGGAGCUGUAUGGGUGCCUGGCGAGCUCUGCUUGGGCCAGCUCCCUGCCUCGUCUUUGGCAGAACUGAGUGCUGGAGGGUUGACUUUGUACGGGGGGAGUCUGAGG
Bos taurus (domestic cattle) is the source of this 899-nucleotide long non-coding RNA. NCBI's taxonomy places the organism in Eukaryota, Metazoa, Chordata, Mammalia, Artiodactyla, Bovidae. The record is from Ensembl.